This 125-nucleotide ribosomal RNA is filed under the name Pelobates cultripes (western spadefoot toad). Its description in RNAcentral is "SSU_rRNA_eukarya". Lineage: Eukaryota; Metazoa; Chordata; Amphibia; Anura; Pelobatidae. The record is from RNAcentral.
AUAACAAUACAUGACUCUUUCCAGGCCCUGUAAUUGGAAUGAGUACACUUUAAAUACUUUAACGAGGUUCUAUUGGAGGGCAAGUCUGGUGCAGAGCGACUGACCUGUGCGUGCUGCAGCUGAAA